GCCUGAGUGGCUCAGCGGUUGAGCAUCUGCCUUUGGCUCAGGACAUGAUUCUGGGGCCUUGGGAUCGAGUCCCACAUCAGGUU
Molecule: transfer RNA, 83 nt
Filed under: Canis lupus familiaris (dog)
Lineage: Eukaryota; Metazoa; Chordata; Mammalia; Carnivora; Canidae
Also listed under: 1 other name
Rfam family: tRNA
About the family: Transfer RNA (tRNA) molecules are approximately 80 nucleotides in length.
Source: Rfam by way of RNAcentral